AUUCGAAACACAUUUUUUUUAAAAUUUGAAUUCGAAUCUGACAAAUUUUAAAAAUUCAUAUUCAAAUCCGAACGUAACCAAAACUCUGAAAUCUCAAUAAGAAUCUGAAUCUGAAUCCAAAAAUCUGAGCUCGAAAUAAUUACUUCUCUUUUCAAUAUUUUAAAAUAUACUAUAGUAAAUCUAAAAUUUUAAAAUACAAAUUCAAAUAUAUAUAUAUAUAUAUAUAUAUAUAAUAGAACUAGGCUGGAAUACUAUCAAUAGCACCAAGUUGUUGGUGCUAUUAGUUUUUUAGCCUUUGGAUUGAGAAAUAUAUGGUUAGGAUGAUGUGGGCUUCCUAGAGUUGAGUGGGUGGUUGGUUGAAUAGUAUAAUAUAACGGGUAAAAAUAAUCAAAGGGGUUAAUCUAACGGCAGAAAACUUGAUAGCACCAGUGUUUGGUGCUCUUGAUAGCAUAGCAGCCGGACUCAUAUUAUAUAAUAUAAAAUAAAUUCAGGUUCAGAUCGAAUUCGGAUCAGAUACAGUCAAACUUCAUAUCUGAAUCCAUAUUCGUCGGAUUUUUAUUUUUAAUAUUUAUAUUCGAAACCAUAUCCGUUUAGUAUCUAAUAAAUUCGCUCUGUUCGGACUUAGUUUCAAAUAAAACUUUAGGUAUUCAUAACCAUUGACAUCCCGUGGAGAUCGGCGCCUAUCGUCCACUCAUUGGAGGACAUGGAGUGGUCCUGCAGAUUUAAUUGGUAGGUUGUGUGGGCCGCACUUGAAAAGCAAGAUUUUAUUUGGACUGUGCUCAUAAAAAAAAAAAAAAAAAUUCUCUUCUAUCCAUUAGCAACACUAAUUAUGCUUACUUACUUUCACUAGCGUAAGCAGUAAAGAACUUGAUAAUUGGUAUUCGAGGUUCCAAAUUUGAAUUCUAUUGAUUUACAUUUAGCCAUACUUUUUCGAUUUGACAUAUAGAUAUUUAAAAGUUUGCUUAACCCUAAAAUAGAAUAUACAUCUUAUACUUAUUCUAUUCAAGAGCUAUUAAUUUUUUACUU
RNAcentral lists this long non-coding RNA (1026 nucleotides) under Ananas comosus (pineapple). RNAcentral's name for it is "long non-coding RNA (ACOM_LNC004365)". Lineage: Eukaryota; Viridiplantae; Streptophyta; Magnoliopsida; Poales; Bromeliaceae. The record is from RNAcentral.